CCUACGGGUGGCAGCAGUGAGGAAUAUUGGUCAAUGGACGAGAGUCUGAACCAGCCAAGUAGCGUGAAGGAUGAAUGCCCUAUGGGUUGUAACCUUCUUUUAUAUGGGAAUAAAUUGUUCCACGUGUGGGCUUUUGUAUGUACCAUAUGCAUAAGGAUCGGCUCCCUCCGUGCCAGCAGCCGCGGUAAUACGGAGGAUCCGAGCGUUAUCCGGAUUUAUUGGGUUUAAAGGGAGCGUAGGUGGACUGUUAAGUCAGUUGUGAAAGUGUGCGGCUCAACCGUACAAUUGCAGUUGAAACUGGCAGUCUUGAGUACAGUAGAGGUGGGCAGAAUUCGUGGUGUAGCGGUGAAAUGCUUAGAUAUCACGAAGAACUCCGAUUGCGAAGGCAGCUCACUGGACGGAAACUGACGCUGAGGCUCGAAAGUGUGGGUAGCAAACAGGAUUAGAUACCCGAGUAGUC
Molecule: ribosomal RNA, 460 nt
Filed under: uncultured bacterium
Lineage: Bacteria
Description: partial 16S ribosomal RNA
Rfam family: Bacterial small subunit ribosomal RNA
Source: RNAcentral